UACUUUAGUCUAGUCAGAGGAACCUGUUUCAUAAAUGAUACAGCACGUAAUAUCUUACUAGGUUUUGUUUAACAGCUUGUAUACCGCCAUUAUUAGAUAACUUUUAUAGAAGAAGUUGUUAAAAGUAAGUAUUUAAAUAUAUUAGGUCAAGGUGCAGCUAAUAGGGUAGGGAGAAUGGGUUACAAUAAUAUUUAUUUAAACGGAGUAAAUGAAAGAAUUUUUAUUAUGAAGGAGGAUUUGAUUGUAAUGAUAAAUUAAUACGGUUUCAUGAUAUAAGUCCUAAAUUAU
This 288-nucleotide ribosomal RNA is filed under the name Engaeus fossor. RNAcentral's name for it is "partial 12S ribosomal RNA". Lineage: Eukaryota; Metazoa; Arthropoda; Malacostraca; Decapoda; Parastacidae. The record is from RNAcentral.